This 289-nucleotide ribosomal RNA is filed under the name Triticum aestivum (bread wheat). RNAcentral describes it as "partial small subunit ribosomal RNA". Lineage: Eukaryota; Viridiplantae; Streptophyta; Magnoliopsida; Poales; Poaceae. The record is from RNAcentral.
UUUCUUUAUUGCUGAACACAAUCAUGCAUUGGUUGAUAAGCCAUCACUAACUAAGUACCUUCGAUCACACCAAGGGAUCCCUCCAGAAGAGAAACUGUUCCUGAAAAAUCUUCAUAAUUGUAAUUUGACCACAGGUCGUAUGAUGAACAUCAUGUCUGAAUUUUAUGGUUCAGAGCUAAUUGUGCCUUACACAACUAAAGCGAUAUCAAAUCUGAAAUCAGGCUUGAAUAAGUUUGACACAAAGGAGGGAGAUAUGAUUGAGACAGUUGCCUACUUCAAGGAUCAACAA